RNAcentral lists this ribosomal RNA (228 nucleotides) under uncultured bacterium. RNAcentral describes it as "partial 16S ribosomal RNA". It matches the Rfam family "Bacterial small subunit ribosomal RNA", at positions 123 to 334 of the family's 1533-position model. The record is from RNAcentral.
AAUCUACCUUUGGGACAGGGAUAACACUCCGAAAGGGGUGCUAAUACCUGAUACGAUGCGAAUUUCAGAAGGAGUUUGCAUGAAAGGUGACCUCUUCCUUGAAAGUUGCCGCUCGAAGAUGAGCCCGCGUCCCAUUAGCUUGUUGGUGGGGUAAUGGCCUACCAAGGCGAAGAUGGGUAGCUGGUCUGAGAGGAUGAUCAGCCACACUGGAACUGAGACACGGUCCAG